Molecule: ribosomal RNA, 566 nt
Filed under: uncultured bacterium
Lineage: Bacteria
Description: partial 16S ribosomal RNA
Rfam family: Bacterial small subunit ribosomal RNA
Source: RNAcentral
UGGGGAAUAUUGGACAAUGGGCGAAAGCCUGAUCCAGCCAUGCCGCGUGUGUGAAGAAGGUCUUCGGAUUGUAAAGCACUUUAAGUUGGGAGGAAGGGCAGUAAGCUAAUACCUUGCUGUUUUGACGUUACCGACAGAAUAAGCACCGGCUAACUUCGUGCCAGCAGCCGCGGUAAUACGAAGGGUGCAAGCGUUAAUCGGAAUUACUGGGCGUAAAGCGCGCGUAGGUGGUUCGUUAAGUUGGAUGUGAAAGCCCCGGGCUCAACCUGGGAACUGCAUCCAAAACUGGCGAGCUAGAGUAUGGUAGAGGGUGGUGGAAUUUCCUGUGUAGCGGUGAAAUGCGUAGAUAUAGGAAGGAACACCAGUGGCGAAGGCGACCACCUGGACUGAUACUGACACUGGGUGCGAAAGCGUGGGGAGCAAAACAGGAUUAGAUACCCUGGUAGUCCACGCCGUAAACGAUGUCAACUAGCCGUUGGGUUCCUUGAGAACUUAGUGGCGCAGCUAACGCAUUAAGUUGACCGCCUGGGGAGUACGGCCGCAAGGUUAAAACUUAAAUGAAUUGA